Molecule: long non-coding RNA, 515 nt
Filed under: Mytilus galloprovincialis (Mediterranean mussel)
Lineage: Eukaryota; Metazoa; Mollusca; Bivalvia; Mytilida; Mytilidae
Source: RNAcentral
AAAAAAUCUUUUGAAACUGCUGUAUCAAUUUCAGCCAAACUUAGGCUAAAUGUAUUUCAGAGUAUCUAGUAUAAAUUUUAUAUUUUAUUUCCUUGUAUGUCAAGAAACAUAGCUCCUAUGGCUAAAAUAGAACAUAGGAGAAAAUGAUUAUUUUUUUUGGCUUUUGAAGAAAAUAGGACGAUCCAAAAAACAUUUAAAUAAAUUGAAAAGCCAAAAUAAUCAUUGAUGAGAGAUUUAACCAAAAGAAUUAAGGUGAGCGAUUCAGGCUCUUGAGAGCCUCUUGUUUUUUAAGGCAUUCAAAUGGAUAAAACCAGAGGAUUUCUAAAAUCUGACAAAAAUUACAAAACAUGACAAGCAAACAUCCUUAAAAAUUCAAUUUUAUCUAAAUAAAUUGUUGUUUUAUUGUGAGUUUUAUUUUUGUAUUCCCUGGAUCAGGUGAAAACAGAGGUUGCAGAGAUGCUUAACUGGUAUUGGCGACUGCAGCGACAUUUGCUUUUUAUGUAACCCCUGCCCCC